This 423-nucleotide ribosomal RNA is filed under the name uncultured prokaryote. RNAcentral's name for it is "bacterial SSU rRNA". It matches the Rfam family "Bacterial small subunit ribosomal RNA", at positions 355 to 796 of the family's 1533-position model. The record is from RNAcentral.
UGGGGAAUCUUGGACAAUGGGGGCAACCCUGAUCCAGCGACGCCGCGUGGGUGGUAAGGCCUUCGGGUUGUAAAGCCCUUUCACCGGGGAAGAUGAUGACAUUACCCGGAGAAGAAGCGCCGGCUAACUCCGUGCCAGCAGCCGCGGUAAGACGGAGGGCGCUAGCGUUGUUCGGAAUCACUGGGCGUAAAGGGCGCGUAGGCGGCUGUUUAAGUCGAGGGUGAAAGCCCGGGGCUCAACCUCGGAACGGCACUCGAAACUGGUUGGCUGGAGACCGAGAGAGGAGAGUGGAAUACCCAGUGUAGAGGUGAAAUUCGUAGAUAUUGGGUGGAACACCGGUGGCGAAAGCGGCUCUCUGGCUCGGAUCUGACGCUGAGGCGCGAAAGCGUGGGGAGCAAACAGGAUUAGAUACCCGCGUAGUCC